GGCGGCGUAGCUCAGCUGGCUAGAGCGCUCGGUUCAUACCCGGAAGGUCAUCCGUUCGAGUCGGAUCGCCGCUACCA
This 77-nucleotide transfer RNA is filed under the name Clostridia bacterium. RNAcentral describes it as "tRNA-Met". It matches the Rfam family "tRNA". From Rfam's summary of the family: Transfer RNA (tRNA) molecules are approximately 80 nucleotides in length. Their secondary structure includes four short double-helical elements and three loops (D, anti-codon, and T loops). Lineage: Bacteria; Bacillati; Bacillota; Clostridia. The record is from RNAcentral.